AGCCCUCUUGGGCGUUUCCUCCCUGAACUUGGGCCGUCCGAAACCUCGGACGGCCCUUUUUUCUAGGCU
This 69-nucleotide small RNA is filed under the name marine eukaryotic metagenome. Its description in RNAcentral is "Makes More Granules Regulator RNA (mmgR)". It matches the Rfam family "Makes More Granules Regulator RNA (mmgR)", at positions 8 to 75 of the family's 77-position model. Rfam says of the family: SuhB later renamed mmgR (makes more granules regulator) was a putative non-coding RNA found multiple times in the Agrobacterium tumefaciens genome and related alpha-proteobacteria. Other non-coding RNAs uncovered in the same analysis include: speF, ybhL, metA, and serC. The record is from RNAcentral.